AUUGAACGCUGGCGACAUGCCUUACACAUGCAAGUCGAACGGCAGCACGGGUGCUUGCACCUGGUGGCGAGUGGCGAACGGGUGAGUAAUACAUCGGAACAUGUCCUGUAGUGGGGGAUAGCCCGGCGAAAGCCGGAUUAAUACCGCAUACGAACUACGGCUGAAAGCGGGGGACCUUCGGGCCUCGCGCUUUAGGGUUGGCCGAUGGCUGAUUAGCUAGUUGGUGGGGUAAAGGCCUACCAAGGCGACGAUCAGUAGCUGGUCUGAGAGGACGACCAGUCACACUGGGACUGAGACACGGCCCAGACUCCUACGGGAGGCAGCAGUGGGGAAUUUUGGACAAUGGGCGAAAGCCUGAUCCAGCAAUGCCGCGUGUGUGAAGAAGGCCUUCGGGUUGUAAAGCACUUUUGUCCGGAAAGAAAACCUUGGCCCUAAUACGGUCGGGGGAUGACGGUACCGGAAGAAUAAGCACCGGCUAACUACGUG
Molecule: ribosomal RNA, 486 nt
Filed under: uncultured bacterium
Lineage: Bacteria
Description: partial 16S ribosomal RNA
Rfam family: Bacterial small subunit ribosomal RNA
Source: RNAcentral